CCGAUCAUGCAGUGCCAGAAAUCGCCCUCUCACGGCGAAAACAGGGGUUCGAGUCCCCUUGGGAGCGCCA
This 70-nucleotide transfer RNA is filed under the name Methylorubrum populi. RNAcentral describes it as "tRNA-Glu". The record is from RNAcentral. Lineage: Bacteria; Pseudomonadati; Pseudomonadota; Alphaproteobacteria; Hyphomicrobiales; Methylobacteriaceae.